RNAcentral lists this transfer RNA (63 nucleotides) under Dorcadia ioffi. Its description in RNAcentral is "tRNA-Ile". The record is from RNAcentral. Lineage: Eukaryota; Metazoa; Arthropoda; Insecta; Siphonaptera; Vermipsyllidae.
AAUAAAGUGCCUGAUAAAAGGAUUAUUUUGAUAGAAUAAAUUAUGUAUUGUAUACCUUUAUUA